RNAcentral lists this small RNA (528 nucleotides) under Pan troglodytes (chimpanzee). RNAcentral's name for it is "processed transcript". Lineage: Eukaryota; Metazoa; Chordata; Mammalia; Primates; Hominidae. The record is from RNAcentral.
CGAUUUCCUCAUUUCAGUUGGAUGGACCAGUUGACUGUAAUACUGAUAAAAGAGCUGCUGCCCAAAGGGAGCAAGGAGGAACAGCGGGAUUACGUCUUCUACCUGGCCGUGGGGAACUACCGGCUCAAGGAAUACGAGAAGGCCUUAAAGUACGUCCGCGGGUUGCUGCAGACAGAGCCCCAGAACAACCAGGCCAAGGAACUGGAGCGGCUCAUUGACAAGGCCAUGAAGAAAGAUGGACUCGUGGGCAUGGCCAUCGUGGGAGGCAUGGCCCUGGGUGUGGCGGGACUGGCCGGACUCAUCGGACUUGCUGUGUCCAAGUCCAAAUCCUGAAGGAGGCGCGGGAGCCCACGGAGAACGCUCCAGGAGGGCCUGUCCAUCCUCGCUGUCCUUUCCCUGUUCUCCCCCUGCACCCCUGUCUCUAUCCUCUGUGGCCUUCAGCUAACUUCUGCUCCCCUGAGACUCGUCCUUCAGCCCCAUCAUGUGCUUUGGGAUGAGUGUAAAUAAAACGGGGCUGUGGCUUGGGAA